GAUGAACGCUGGCGGCGUGCUUAACACAUGCAAGUCGAACGAAGCACCUUAUUUGAUUUCCUUUGGGCCUGAUUAUUUUGUGACUGAGUGGCGGACGGGUGAGUAACGCGUGGGUAACCUGCCUUGUACAGGGGGAUAACAGUUGGAAACGGCUGCUAAUACCGCAUAAGCGCACAGCAUCGCAUGAUGCAGUGUGAAAAACUCCGGUGGUAUAAGAUGGACCCGCGUUGGAUUAGCUAGUUGGUGAGGUAACGGCCCACCAAGGCGACGAUCCAUAGCCGAGCUGAGAGGGUGACCGGCCACAUUGGGACUGAGACACGGCCCAAACUCCUACGGGAGGCAGCAGUGGGGAAUAUUGCACAAUGGACGAAGGCCUGAUGCAGCGACGCCGCGUGAGCGAAGAAGUAUUUCGGUAUGUAAAGCUCUAUCAGCAGGGAAGAUAAUGACGGUACCUGACUAAGAAGCACCGGCUAAAUACGUG
This 481-nucleotide ribosomal RNA is filed under the name uncultured bacterium. RNAcentral's name for it is "partial 16S ribosomal RNA". It matches the Rfam family "Bacterial small subunit ribosomal RNA", at positions 28 to 507 of the family's 1533-position model. The record is from RNAcentral.